Molecule: ribosomal RNA, 460 nt
Filed under: uncultured bacterium
Lineage: Bacteria
Description: partial 16S ribosomal RNA
Rfam family: Bacterial small subunit ribosomal RNA
Source: RNAcentral
CCUACGGGCGGCAGCAGUGAGGAAUAUUGGUCAAUGGGCGCGAGCCUGAACCAGCCAAGUAGCGUGAAGGAUGACGGCCCUACGGGUUGUAAACUUCUUUUAUACAGGAAUAAAGUGAGGCACGUGUACCUGUUUGUAUGUACUGUAUGAAUAAGGAUCGGCUAACUCCGUGCCAGCAGCCGCGGUAAUACGGAGGAUCCGAGCGUUAUCCGGAUUUAUUGGGUUUAAAGGGAGCGUAGAUGGGUUGUUAAGUCAGUUGUGAAAGUUUGCGGCUCAACCGGAAAAUUGCAAUUGAUACUGGCAGCCGUGAGUACAGUUGAGGUAGGCGGAAUUCGUGGUGUAGCGGUGAAAUGCUUAGAUAUCACGAAGAACUCCGAUUGCGAAGGCAGCUUACUAAACUGCCACUGACAUUGAUGCUCGAAAGUGUGGGUAUCGAACAGGAUUAGAUACCCGGGUAGUC